This is a non-coding RNA of Schistosoma curassoni, 45 nucleotides long. Lineage: Eukaryota; Metazoa; Platyhelminthes; Trematoda; Strigeidida; Schistosomatidae. The record is from Rfam.
AUCCAGCUGACGAGCCUCAAACGGGACGAAAUGCGCGUCCUGGAC